This 427-nucleotide ribosomal RNA is filed under the name uncultured bacterium. RNAcentral's name for it is "bacterial SSU rRNA". It matches the Rfam family "Bacterial small subunit ribosomal RNA", at positions 354 to 796 of the family's 1533-position model. The record is from RNAcentral.
GUAGGGAAUCUUGCACAAUGGGCGAAAGCCUGAUGCAGCAACGCCGCGUGAAGGAUGAAGGCCUUCGGGUUGUAAACUUCUGUUCUAAGGGAAGAAACAAAUGACGGUACCUUAGGAGCAAGCCCCGGCUAACUACGUGCCAGCAGCCGCGGUAAUACGUAGGGGGCAAGCGUUAUCCGGAAUUAUUGGGCGUAAAGAGUGCGUAGGUGGUUACCUAAGCGCAAGGUUUAAUUUAGAGGCUCAACCUCUACUUGCCUUGCGAACUGGGCUACUUGAGUGCAGGAGGGGAAAGCGGAAUUCCUAGUGUAGCGGUGAAAUGCGUAGAUAUUAGGAGGAACACCAGCGGCGAAGGCGGCUUUCUGGACUGUAACUGACACUGAGGCACGAAAGCGUGGGUAGCAAACAGGAUUAGAAACCCGAGUAGUCC